UGGCUCAGGACGAACGCUGGCGGUAUGCUUAACACAUGCAAGUCGAACGAGACGAGAUGGAAGGAUCCUCGGGUGACGGAAAUCUUAGAAAGUGGCGAACGGGUGAGUAACGCGUGGGUAACCUGCCCUAUGGAAAGGAAUAGCCUCGGGAAACUGGGAGUAAUGCCUUAUAAUACAUUGAAGUCGCAUGGCUUUGAUGUUAAACGCUCCGGUGCCAUAGGAUGGACCCGCGUCCCAUUAGCUAGUUGGUGAGAUAACAGCCCACCAAGGCGACGAUGGGUAACCGGUCUGAGAGGGCGAACGGUCACACUGGAACUGAGACACGGUCCAGACUCCUACGGGAGGCAGCAGUGGGGAAUAUUGCGCAAAUGGGGGAAACCCUGACGCAGCAAUACCGCGUGAGUGAAGAAGGUUUUCGGAUCGUAAAGCUCUGUUAUUGGGGAAGAAAAAAGACGGUACCCAAGAAGAAAGUCCCGGCUAACUACGUGCCAGCAGCGGC
Molecule: ribosomal RNA, 499 nt
Filed under: uncultured bacterium
Lineage: Bacteria
Description: bacterial SSU rRNA
Rfam family: Bacterial small subunit ribosomal RNA
Source: RNAcentral